GGUAACACCGGCAGCCCGAGUGGUGAUCACUAUUAUUGGGUCUAAAGGGUCCGUAGCCGGUUUAAUCAGUCUUCUGGGAAAUCUAAUCGCUUAACUAUUAGGCUUCCAGGGGAUACUGUUAGACUUGGGACCGGGAGAGGUAAGAGGUACUGCAGGGGUAGGAGUGAAAUCUUGUAAUCCCUGUGAGACCACCAGUGGCGAAGGCGUCUUACCAGAACGGGUCCGACGGUGAGGGACGAAAGCUGGGGGCACGAACCGGAUUAGAUACCCGGGUAGUCCCAGCUGUAAACGAUGCUCGUUAGGUGUCAGGAACGGUGCGACUGUUUCUGGUGCCGAAGGGAAGCCGUGAAACGAGCCACCUGGGAAGUACGGCCGCAAGGCUGAAACUUAAAGGAAUUGGCGGGGGAGCACUACAACGGGUGGAGCCUGCGGUUUAAUUGGACUCAACGCCGGAAAACUCACCGGGGGCGACAGCAAUAUGUAGGUCAGGUUAAAGGUCUUACCUGAAUCGCUGAGAGGAGGUGCAUGGCCGUCGUCAGUUCGUACUGUGAAGCAUCCUGUUAAGUCAGGCAACGAGCAAGACCCGUGCCCACUGUUACCAGCAUAUCCUUUAUGGAUGAUGGGGACUCUGUGGGGACCGCUGCUGCUAAAGCAGAGGAAGGUGCGGGCUACGGUAGGUCAGUAUGCCCCGAAUCUCCCGGGCUACACGCGGGCUACAAUGGUUGGGACAAUGGGUAUCUACUCCGAAAGGAGUUGGCAAUCUCUUAAACCCAAUCGUAGUUCGAAUUGAGGGCUGUAACUCGCCCUCAUGAAGCUGGAAUCCGUAGUAAUCGCGUUUCAACAUAGCGCGG
RNAcentral lists this ribosomal RNA (851 nucleotides) under uncultured archaeon. Its description in RNAcentral is "bacterial SSU rRNA". It matches the Rfam family "Archaeal small subunit ribosomal RNA", at positions 469 to 1318 of the family's 1478-position model. The record is from RNAcentral.